UCCCUGGCAGUCCAGUGGUUAGGACUCUGCACUUCCAUUGCAGGGGCACAGGUUCGAUCCCUCGUUAGGGAA
RNAcentral lists this transfer RNA (72 nucleotides) under Bos taurus (domestic cattle). It matches the Rfam family "tRNA". Rfam says of the family: Transfer RNA (tRNA) molecules are approximately 80 nucleotides in length. Their secondary structure includes four short double-helical elements and three loops (D, anti-codon, and T loops). RNAcentral also lists the same sequence under 5 other names. The record is from Rfam by way of RNAcentral. Lineage: Eukaryota; Metazoa; Chordata; Mammalia; Artiodactyla; Bovidae.